Long non-coding RNA from Alligator mississippiensis (American alligator), 3116 nucleotides. RefSeq lists it as uncharacterized. The record is from RefSeq and is a predicted model, not a curated record. The transcript has 2 exons. Lineage: Eukaryota; Metazoa; Chordata; Crocodylia; Alligatoridae.
GCAAAGCCCAUACUUCUUAAUAAUCGAAAUCAUUGUUAACCUAACAGUAUGCUAUCAGAAAACUAUUCUGUUUCAGUCCAAUAACAAACAUGCUCACUACAAACCCUAGCAUUUGGUGUAAGCCUAAGUGGGUAUGGAUUCAUGUGUGGACUUGUUCCCUCAUUGUAGCACCAGCGUAAUGCUAAGUUGACCUGGAUUCAUUUGUAGGCCUGUGCUGUACCCAUAGGUCUUUGUAUAGGAGGAGAAGAAAACCCCUGGCCUUAAUAUGUUUGUAAGGAGUGCUUCGUUGACUUUCCAAUACCUACUGAGCUCACCUAUGAUGUUAGUAGGUCAACCCAUAAAUUUUCCAGGUGUGCACUUUGCGGUGUGUGCAGGUGCUAGGUAGCAACUAGUUGUCUAUUGUACUUGUUAUCUCUUUUGUCAUGUGACUGGCAAUUGAAACCAACAUAUAAAAGGUUUGCUUUGAUUGCGUGCCGUGGACAGGCCCAGUGCCUCCCUCCUGGAGCUGGUUGUACACAAAGGUGCCUGACCACGUCGUGAUGAAAUCACAGAGUGAUGCCUCUUUCUUCCGCGGCAUUACCACUUGUUGGACUUGGAUUCAUUUCCGAUUCUGUUCCCUCACCCUACCACUUGGCAUCAGUCUAAGUGGUCCCGGAUUAGUUUGUGCACCUGUUCCCUCACCCUAGCACUCGGCGUAACCUAUGCUGGGCCCGGAUUCAUUUCUGACUCCGAUCCCUAAUCCUAGCAGUCGGACUCACCCUAACUAAGUGGGUUGGCAUUUGUUUCAAAAUCUGUUUCCUAACGCUAACCCUUGCCCUAGCCAUCACGGGACUUUGAUUCAUUUGUGCAUCCGUUCUGUCCCAGUAGCACUCGGCCUAACCGUCCCUGGCCCUGGAUUCCUUCCGGAAUCUAUUCCCUAACCCUACCAGUCGGACUAACCCUAACUGUCCCUGGAUUCUUUUUUGAAUCCGUUCUCCAAUCCUAGCACUUGGCGUAACCCUAAGUGGAGUUUGAUUCCUUUUUGAAUAUGUUUCCUAAUCCUAGCAACUGCUGUACCCCUAACGGGACCCAGAUUUGUUUGUGGACCCGUUUUGUCCCCACUACCACUCGGCGUAACCCUCACUGGGGCUGGAUUCAUUUCUGAAUGUGUUCCAUAACUGUAGCGCUUGGCGUAACCUUAACGGGGCCUGGAUUGAGCUUGGAGUGCAUUCCCUAAGCUUGGCACUCCAAAUCACAAUAAGUGGACUCAGAUUCGUUUUGGAAUCCGUUCCCUAACCCUAGCACUUUGCCUAACCGUAACCGACCCCAGAUUUGUUGUUGAAUCUGUUCGCUAACCGUACCAGUUGUCGUAACCCUAACUCGAUCUGGAUGUGUUUCUGAAUACCUUCCCUAACUGUACCACUUGCUGUAACUAUAACUGGGCCUGGAUUUGUUGGCGGUUAUGUUCCCUAACCCUAGCACUUGGUGUAACCGUCGCUGGGGCGGGAUUCUCUUCUGAAUAUGUUUGCUAAGCAUAGCCCUUGUAGUAAGCCUUGCUGGACUGGGAUUAAUUUCAGAUUAUGUUUCCUAACCCUAGUCCUUGGCCUAACAGUUAAUGGACUCAGCUUCACUUGUGGACCCGUUCUGUCUCUGUAGCAUUUGGCCUAACCUUAACUGGUGCUGGAUUCAUUUGUGGACCUGUUCCCUAACUGUAGCACUUGGUGCAAGCCUAACAAACCCUGUAUUUGUUUAUGAGUCCGUUCCCUAACCCUAGCAGUCAGUGUAAGGCUAACUAGCCCCUGAUUCUUUUCUGCAUCUGUGUUGUACCCGUCGGAUUUAGUGUAACCUUAAGCGUACUUGGAUUCAUUUAUCAAUCUGUUCCCUAACCCUGGCCCUUGGCCUUUCCUUGGAUUCUGAAAUCUCUACCGGGGUUAUUGGUGGAGGAUUGUCUGUGUGCGGCUCAGGAAACCAGCUCAAGCUCAUGUGUCCCGAACGUCUGAAAUAAUCCGUAGGCUGCUUGCCUUGUUUGUAUGUAUGAAAAUGGUUUAAAAUUACAGGGGUAACAAGACAGUCUAAAGUAAAUCAUAUAGAAAGCUGGGGAAUAGUGUGGGUGUUUUGUCUGGUAUUGCUGACCAAGGCUGGGACUGAAUAUUUUUGAGCGUUGUGUUUUAGUGCCAACGUUCCUGUUUGUGAAAGAAUAAUGAGUCGCUGACCUGGUCUGAGAUGAAGGUUGGAUCUAGCCGCGCCACGGCUGUCUAGAAAGGCAGAGUUGGAAGCAAGGGGGCCCAGCUGGAACCUUGUGACCCAGUGGACAGCUUGAUCCUCUCCGCAUCCAUGGUAAUUGUGCAGGUGCGAGAAGAUUUACGUUCACCACCAGAUGUUUCCUGUCAGAAUCUCAUACCAGGUGAUUGGAUUUAUGUAAAGGUCCAUCAUUGGAAAAAUGUGCUUCAACUGACAUGGAAUGGACUGUUGCAGGUGCUCUGGACCAGUAACACUGCCGUUUGUUGCCAAGGUCUCUAGACAUGGACCUGCACUGGAAAAAGGUAUCACCUCUAUUGGACCCUGAAACAGUUGCAUUGCUACCUGGGCUAAGACCUUUCCCUGAGGCCAAGGACAAAGAGCAUCAAGAUCUUAGUAUGGAAAAUGAGGAGUAUCAGGGUGCAAGUGCUAGUAACCUCUCCCCUGAACCGAGCACUGCAGCCUGGCCAGAUUUACCAGUUGGCGAUCGAAGAUAUUAUCUCUGAGCCCAACGAAUAAUCUCCAGACUUUAUACGUGUAUAUCCCAGAUGGUUGUAGCGCUAUUGAGCAUGUGGCUGAAAGUAUAGAGAAAGAAGUUGCUAAAGUUUAUGAAACUGAUGAAUGGAGUGUGUGCACCUGUUUUGUCACAUUUGGGGCCAAAGGAUUUUGUAGUGCAAUCAUGGUCCUGGAGUUUAUUGUCUUUCUACAACUGUUCCUCUUUAUUGCUAUGCAUUUGGUACCUUAGUAGAUCCCAACAAAGGUGCAAAAAUUCUGUCUAAUGUGAUACUGGGUCAAUUGCAAGUAGUCUGUCAAUUGUUCUCAAGGGAGCGUUGACAGAUACUGUAGCUAAGAACAAGUGUGACUGUGCCUCGCAGGAUGCAUAAAUCAUAAUGUUCUGA